GCGGCAACAGGUGGAGCAGGUGGUGGCAGAGUUGGUGGUGACAGAGGCGGCAGCAGUAAAGGAAGACCCUAGGUGCGCCGCACGUAGGGUUAGGGUUACCCUUCUCUUUUUUUUGUUUUUUGGUUUGGGCUGAAUUUUUUAUUGGGUUUGUGAUUUUGGGCCUGUUGUAUUUUGUUUGUUGGGUUUGGGUUGGUUAUUGGGCUGAUUGGGCUAGUGUUGGGUUUGGUCAGUUGGGUAGGUCAAAAUGGGCCCGUACAGCUACCCCUCUUUGCUCGUUGUCGUGUAACGAUAACAGAGCAAAGACUAAGAAAGGCCCAUUUUGCCCGGCUUCGCCGAUUCUUGACUUGUUCUGGUGCUUUUCUUUCU
RNAcentral lists this long non-coding RNA (366 nucleotides) under Gossypium raimondii (Peruvian cotton). RNAcentral's name for it is "long non-coding RNA (GRAI_LNC001162)". The record is from RNAcentral. Lineage: Eukaryota; Viridiplantae; Streptophyta; Magnoliopsida; Malvales; Malvaceae.